UACGUAGGGGCCUAGCGUUGUCCGGAUUUAUUGGGCGUAAAGAGCUCGUAGGCGGUUCGGCAAGUCGGAUGUGAAAUCUCCACGCUCAACGUGGAGGGGCCAUUCGAAACUGCCGUGACUCGAGUCCGGUAGGGGAGUGUGGAAUUCCCGGUGUAGCGGUGAAAUGCGCAGAUAUCGGGAGGAACACCGGUGGCGAAGGCGGCGUUCUGGACUGUAACUGACACUGAGGAACGAAAGCCAGGGGAGCAAACGGG
RNAcentral lists this ribosomal RNA (254 nucleotides) under uncultured bacterium. RNAcentral describes it as "partial 16S ribosomal RNA". It matches the Rfam family "Bacterial small subunit ribosomal RNA", at positions 524 to 776 of the family's 1533-position model. The record is from RNAcentral.